RNAcentral lists this ribosomal RNA (2906 nucleotides) under Klebsiella oxytoca. RNAcentral describes it as "23S ribosomal RNA". It matches the Rfam family "Bacterial large subunit ribosomal RNA". Lineage: Bacteria; Pseudomonadati; Pseudomonadota; Gammaproteobacteria; Enterobacterales; Enterobacteriaceae. The record is from RNAcentral.
GGUUAAGCGACUAAGCGUACACGGUGGAUGCCCUGGCAGUCAGAGGCGAUGAAGGACGUGCUAAUCUGCGAAAAGCGUCGGUAAGGUGAUAUGAACCGUUAUAACCGGCGAUGUCCGAAUGGGGAAACCCAGUGCAAUUCGUUGCACUAUCGUUAACUGAAUACAUAGGUUAACGAGGCGAACCGGGGGAACUGAAACAUCUAAGUACCCCGAGGAAAAGAAAUCAACCGAGAUUCCCCCAGUAGCGGCGAGCGAACGGGGAGCAGCCCGGAGUCUGAAUCAGCUUGUGUGUUAGUGGAAGCGUCUGGAAAGUCGCAGGGUACAGGGUGAUACUCCCGUACACUAAAACACACAGGCUGUGAACUCGAAGAGUAGGGCGGGACACGUGGUAUCCUGUCUGAAUAUGGGGGGACCAUCCUCCAAGGCUAAAUACUCCUGACUGACCGAUAGUGAACCAGUACCGUGAGGGAAAGGCGAAAAGAACCCCGGCGAGGGGAGUGAAAAAGAACCUGAAACCGUGUACGUACAAGCAGUAGGAGCCCACUAGUUGGGUGACUGCGUACCUUUUGUAUAAUGGGUCAGCGACUUAUAUUCUGUAGCAAGGUUAACCGAAUAGGGGAGCCGCAGGGAAACCGAGUCUUAACUGGGCGUUAAGUUGCAGGGUAUAGACCCGAAACCCGGUGAUCUAGCCAUGGGCAGGUUGAAGGUUGGGUAACACUAACUGGAGGACCGAACCGACUAAUGUUGAAAAAUUAGCGGAUGACUUGUGGCUGGGGGUGAAAGGCCAAUCAAACCGGGAGAUAGCUGGUUCUCCCCGAAAGCUAUUUAGGUAGCGCCUCGUGAACUCAUCUUCGGGGGUAGAGCACUGUUUCGGCUAGGGGGUCAUCCCGACUUACCAACCCGAUGCAAACUACGAAUACCGAAGAAUGUUAUCACGGGAGACACACGGCGGGUGCUAACGUCCGUCGUGAAGAGGGAAACAACCCAGACCGCCAGCUAAGGUCCCAAAGUCAUGGUUAAGUGGGAAACGAUGUGGGAAGGCCCAGACAGCCAGGAUGUUGGCUUAGAAGCAGCCAUCAUUUAAAGAAAGCGUAAUAGCUCACUGGUCGAGUCGGCCUGCGCGGAAGAUGUAACGGGGCUAAACCAUGCACCGAAGCUGCGGCAGCGACACUAUGUGUUGUUGGGUAGGGGAGCGUUCUGUAAGCCGUUGAAGGUGGCCUGUGAGGGUUGCUGGAGGUAUCAGAAGUGCGAAUGCUGACAUAAGUAACGAUAAUGCGGGUGAAAAACCCGCACGCCGGAAGACCAAGGGUUCCUGUCCAACGUUAAUCGGGGCAGGGUGAGUCGACCCCUAAGGCGAGGCCGAAAGGCGUAGUCGAUGGGAAACAGGUUAAUAUUCCUGUACUUGGUGUUACUGCGAAGGGGGGACGGAGAAGGCUAUGUUGGCCGGGCGACGGUUGUCCCGGUUUAAGCAUGUAGGCGGAUGUUCCAGGUAAAUCCGGAACGUUACUAACGCUGAGGUGUGAUGACGAGGCACUACGGUGCUGAAGUGACAAAUGCCCUGCUUCCAGGAAAAGCCUCUAAGCAUCAGGUAACAUCAAAUCGUACCCCAAACCGACACAGGUGGUCAGGUAGAGAAUACCAAGGCGCUUGAGAGAACUCGGGUGAAGGAACUAGGCAAAAUGGUGCCGUAACUUCGGGAGAAGGCACGCUGAUGGUAAGUGAAGUGACUUGCUCAUGGAGCUGAAAUCAGUCGAAGAUACCAGCUGGCUGCAACUGUUUAUUAAAAACACAGCACUGUGCAAACACGAAAGUGGACGUAUACGGUGUGACGCCUGCCCGGUGCCGGAAGGUUAAUUGAUGGGGUUAUCCUCACGGAGAAGCUCUUGAUCGAAGCCCCGGUAAACGGCGGCCGUAACUAUAACGGUCCUAAGGUAGCGAAAUUCCUUGUCGGGUAAGUUCCGACCUGCACGAAUGGCGUAAUGAUGGCCAGGCUGUCUCCACCCGAGACUCAGUGAAAUUGAACUCGCUGUGAAGAUGCAGUGUACCCGCGGCAAGACGGAAAGACCCCGUGAACCUUUACUAUAGCUUGACACUGAACACUGGUCCUUGAUGUGUAGGAUAGGUGGGAGGCUUUGAAGUGUGGACGCCAGUCUGCAUGGAGCCAUCCUUGAAAUACCACCCUUUAAUGGCUGGUGUUCUAACGUGGGCCCGUGAUCCGGGUUGCGGACAGUGUCUGGUGGGUAGUUUGACUGGGGCGGUCUCCUCCUAAAGAGUAACGGAGGAGCACGAAGGUCAGCUAAUCCUGGUCGGACAUCAGGAGGUUAGUGCAAUGGCAUAAGCUGGCUUGACUGCGAGCGUGACGGCGCGAGCAGGUGCGAAAGCAGGUCAUAGUGAUCCGGUGGUUCUGAAUGGAAGGGCCAUCGCUCAACGGAUAAAAGGUACUCCGGGGAUAACAGGCUGAUACCGCCCAAGAGUUCAUAUCGACGGCGGUGUUUGGCACCUCGAUGUCGGCUCAUCACAUCCUGGGGCUGAAGUAGGUCCCAAGGGUAUGGCUGUUCGCCAUUUAAAGUGGUACGCGAGCUGGGUUUAGAACGUCGUGAGACAGUUCGGUCCCUAUCUGCCGUGGGCGCUGGAGAAUUGAGGGGGGCUGCUCCUAGUACGAGAGGACCGGAGUGGACGCAUCACUGGUGUUCGGGUUGUCAUGCCAAUGGCAUUGCCCGGUAGCUAAAUGCGGAAGAGAUAAGUGCUGAAAGCAUCUAAGCACGAAACUUGCCCCGAGAUGAGUUCUCCCUGACUCCUUGAGAGUCCUGAAGGAACGUUGAAGACGACGACGUUGAUAGGCCGGGUGUGUAAGCGCAGCGAUGCGUUGAGCUAACCGGUACUAAUGAACCGUGAGGCUUAACCUU